Molecule: long non-coding RNA, 3259 nt
Filed under: Sus scrofa (pig)
Lineage: Eukaryota; Metazoa; Chordata; Mammalia; Artiodactyla; Suidae
Description: lncRNA (ENSSSCG00005031065.1)
Source: RNAcentral
AGGUUCUUCCGCCCCGAGCUGGCCUGGCGCCUCCCGGCCGCCAUAAGCAGAGGCUGGGGAGCGUGGCCCCGAGUGCUCACCUGGGGUCGAGGAGUACCGAGGGGCUUAGGCCGGGCUCCGGGUCAUUCGUUCGUCCUCUCAUUCAUUCAUUCCUUGAGCCGACUCUGGAAUUGAGAUGGGUUCGGUGGAUCCUAGAAGGAUUGUGCAGAUGCAGGAGUUGACCAAGUGGAAUUGCUGUAAACGUUGGCCAGCAGGAAGCAGCGUCACUUGUAGAAUCUUGGGCCUUUCUCCUGACCCCUGCAGGGAUUCGGAGACCGAGGCGCCCCCAGGUGGUUCACCCCAGCCGGCAGCUCAGUGAUGAAUCCACAGGAAGCUAAUACACAGCCGCCAGGUUCUUGCCUGGAAGCCACCCAAUGCAGUAAGAGACCCACUCGUCCACAGAAGUAGAUUUCGAAGGAUCAUCUGCCCUGCAGCUGUCAAAGAACUGAACUGGAGGUGGAGUCAGCCUCGAGGCCUUCCUCAGAAGGCGUUGGAGGGCUUGCCGUCCUGCAGAGUCAUGUCCUCAGGGAGGUCCUCUCUUCAUUCCAGUUUCUGGGGCUGGAUNNNNNNNNNNNNNNNNNNNNNNNNNNNNNNNNNNNNNNNNNNNNNNNNNNNNNNNNNNNNNNNNNCACCUGAAGACAAGAAUCAGAGGGAGUUUUCCUCCGCCUCCUGCUUCAGGCGCUGCCACUUGCGCUGCGCUUCUGGGGCUAAACGCCGGCUUUCUGGCGCGUGACCUACACCUCGGUGCUGUGCUUGGCCUGUGAACCAAGAAGAUGUGUUCUGCCCUACAGAAGCUGGUGACCCAGAGGAAGAAGAGACAAAUCUGGAUCGACCUUGCAUCCUUUCUCUGCUUUCCAAACAAAUCCGAAUGUUCGGACAUGAACUUGACAGUGUUCAUCUCACCGUUGCCCUGGAGACAGUAAGUCAGAUGUGUACAUAUCUUUUCGGUCUAUGCCGUCUGUCCUGUUACCUAUUUUUACUCUUGGAUACCCUUAAAAACAAACUUUAAACUUUGAAACAAACCCCAGUGCUCUUGGUCUUUGGGUUGUAUACCUUUUGACAGCCUUCAAUGCAAAACAGUACAGCUCUGCCCAGACUGUUUCUGUGGUACACGGCAGACCCAGCCAGGGUGAGCCAAGCCAGCAGGUGUUUGUUUAACACUUAGUAUUUUGAUUUACCUAAGGUAAGCACUCCUCCUACUUCUUCCGCUGUGUUACUUGUUCUAAUUCAGCUUCUUUUCCUGUGCUAUUAUUGCUAACUAGAGCCAGUUAAAGAAUGGAAAGAGAGCUAACAAGGGGUUUGUAGGAUGGUAAGUAGAAUUUUCUUGCUCGGCAUUUGGCUCACGUACCAUUCUUUGAAAACCUGGGUAUCUAGGACUCAGGCAUCGUCACUAAACUUAUUUACCACGGAAUUCUUUAUUCUCUCAUUUACAACCGCCUUGAAGAAUACUUGAGAAUGUUAGACUUAUCCAAAUGUGAAGUGCACUGAAACUCAGCGUAACCCUUUGACUCUGUAAAAUGAAGCCCAGGUGUAUAGAUUAAUGUCCAGAAGAGAGUUUUUGAAGGAGUGGCCCUUUCAAAUAAUUCUUAUUAGCUAGGAGAACAUUUAAAAACUCCUGUGUUAAGCUGCUCAUAUAAUGCUUUGUGCUUUGACAGGCUUCUCUAACUCCCCUGGACAGAGCGAGUUGUUUUUCCAAGUCUCCUCUGCCUUAUGUACUGUAUUUAUCUGUUUUAUUUACUUUUAAAUUCUCUUCUUGCCAGCGAUAGUGACUAGGACGUAAUAGGUGACCAGAAAAACGCUUGUUGAAUUGAACUGAGGAAGAGCCUUCCUUAUUCUGAUACUGUGCAAAAACAAUCUACACUGAGUAUUAUAAUGAGUGGUGAAAUAUUUAAAAGCUUUCCUUUGAGAUUGGGACCUAAACAAGCAUGUCCGCUAUCAUCACUUCUUUUUAAUGUCCCAUUGCAUGUCCUAGACAGUUCAAUAAAGGAAGGAAAAGAAAUUUUAAUAUAUGAGGAUAGAACAGGAAGAAAGAUGUAUAUGUAAAUGGUUUGACUCCACAUAAAGCCAAAGAAAUAAUUACUUUACUGGAUCCCAGAUAAACCAGAAAGUAGGGAUUUUUUUUUUUUUUUUUAGCCUGGUGAUAUUCAGUACCUAAGCAUUUUGUCUGGGUCAAUGCAGUUAUCACACUGCAUUGUGUGACAAGAAACACUUGUCAUGUAUCUCAGUGUCACUGAAACACCGCUGAGAAUUUUGUCCUCUCUCAUCUGUAAUAUUCUGCACGGACAAUAACUGCAGAUUCUGACUUAGAAAGUAAGACUCAGUCAUAAGCCAAAAUCGGCCUGUACCAGCUCCUGGGAGCAGAUUGAUCACAUUUCUUUUUAACUCUGGGUUUCUUGUCCUCAAUCACUUCAGUAGCUUGAAAUCGUCAGCCAUGCUGGGAGUGUUUACAUCACAGAAACUGGCCCAAACCACAGGUCAGUACUGAGGCCCUCGCCUACCAAGGCUGGUCACUAAACAUUGACUAACACACUACUGGGCAUCAGAUAAUGACAUGAAACGUUCUGACAGCUUCAUUGAAAGGGCAAAGAAACUAUUGACAUGAUGUCUUAAAAUUGGGGGUUUUGUUUUAAAUAGGAAAACAGGUACCUGAAGUUAGAGAAGAAUCUCCGUUUAGACUUAGAUGUUGAGUUCCAGACAUGUGGAAUGACCGCCAUCCAAUUUAAUUUAAAAAAAAAAAAAAAAAAGUCCUAUCAAUUUUUAAAUAAGCAGUGGCUUAGAUUAAAUUUGCACUCUUGCUCUCUCACGCGCACUCUCUCCUUCUCUCCCUCCCCGCCCCCCUUAUUUAACCCAAACUCCUCGAGCACAUUAAUGGGUCUGGUCUGUCCUUUUACAGUUGGAGCGGCAUUGGUGAUUGUAAAUCAAGGCAAUGUUUAACCAGGAUUUCGCGGUGUUGUUUCUGUUAGGAUUUUGAGGGUUUUCCAUAAGGGUAUAUGUUAUGGGAAAAGCACAUACAAACCGGGAAAAGGAAGUUUGCUGGAAGCCGGAAGGGGGUUGUGUUGAUGGUGGCUGUUCCUUUAAGACAAUCACCCUGGGUGUCAUGUUUAGAAAGGGGAUUCAAGCGUGGACGUGGUAUGGGCAGGCAUCCAUAGGAUGGUCUGAGUUCGCCUUCCAAGUGCGUGCGGGCUUGGGGGGAGCUGGAGGAGGAAGGGGAUCUUGCAGU